Sus scrofa (pig) is the source of this 1967-nucleotide long non-coding RNA. RefSeq lists it as uncharacterized. Lineage: Eukaryota; Metazoa; Chordata; Mammalia; Artiodactyla; Suidae. The record is from RefSeq and is a predicted model, not a curated record.
GGAACCUCCAUGUGCCAUGGGUGCAGCCCUAAAAAGGCAAAAAACAAAAAAACCCAGGCAUUAUCCCUGAGGAUGCGAGUUUGAUCCCUGGCAUUGCUCAGGAGCCACGGAUCGAGCCUGAAUCCUCCCUGGCCUACAGCUCAGAUCUGGGGUGGCUGUGGCUGUGGCUGUGGGGAAGGCUGGGAGCUGCAGCUCUGAUUGGACCCCUAGCCUGGAAACUAAAGAGUUUUAUUUCUUCCUUUCCUUUUCUUCUUUUAUUGCCUAAGUGCUCCGGCUAGGUCUUCCAAUACUAUGUUGAAUAAUCUCUAAAAUUUGACAAAAGGCAAAGUGGCCCCAAGAAAGUAGUUUGAAACUAAGUGUUGAGCACUCAUGGAUCAACUCCUUUUUAUGAAGCCCCAUGUGGGUAACACAGGCAGCAGAAAUGAUCCGAAGUUACUACUGCUGUGUUACAAACCACCUUAGAACUUAAAAGGCUUAUUAAACAGUAGUCACCUUCUCUCAGGGUUUCCAUGGGUUAAGAAUUUAGGAAAGGCUCUACCUGGCAGUUCUGACUCAGCAUCUGAUGCACUUACCCUUAGACAGUGGCUGGAGGUGGCUGGAAAAUUAGGGACUGGCUGUGCAUCUCCUUUGCUUGUAGUUUCAGGGCCUUUCAAUCUGGUCUCUCCACAUGGGCUGAUUGGGCUUCCUCAUAGCAUGGAUGCUUCAGGAUGGUAGAGCUUUUCUACAUGGUGGCUCGAGGACUGCCAGCUUGUGUGUUCCAACACACCAGCAGUAAGCUGCAUUGCCUUUUACAACCUAGCCUUGGAAGCCAUAUAGCAUUACUUUUGUCAUUAUCCAGUUACUUCUUGAUUUGGAGACAGUCAUAAACUUUACUGACACCUUAUAACUGCCACGUCCACCCUCAUGAAGACCAUCCCAGGUGGAAGGCAAGACCAGUCCAGAUGACACCAAGAGUAUGAGAAGACUCAAUUACCAUAGGAGAUAUGGUGGACUUUGCUCUUUGGCAGUGGCAAGACCUACCCCUCGCUCCCCCACCUCCUGAGUGUGGUGUUACAGGAGUUCACAUCAGUCUCCAACUUGGGCUACCUAAUAGUACCAGGUAACUAUUAGAUUUCUGAAAUACAGCUUUGUUAGUCACUGCAACUAUCACCUAAAAUGUGACAGGUUCUGAGGGUAGAUAAUCAGUGUGUUGAUGUCUGAAUGGAAUAUACAGUCUCCUGCAGGCACCUGAUGAGCAGAGUCCAGAACGCUAUGAUGACGCAAAUGUUCUAUAAUCGGCCCUCUGCAUGUGGGUGCUACCUACCCACAUGUGGCUACUGUACUGGCCAGCAAGGUCUAGAUGAAGGAUCUGACAAGAGAAAUAAAAUAAGCAAAGUACGAGGGGUGGCACAGACCCCCGAGUAAUGCUCUGGGGAUUCAGAGUAAGGGGGCCAGCCCACAGGCCAGCCUGACUCAGGUUUACUGGCCGAAUCCAAAGGAAUAAAAGGUCUCACUAGCCUCUAUCCCCCAGAGAAACCCCUGCUGAAACAGACUCUCCAAGGUCCUACAAUAAGGGACAGAGCCAAAAUGUCUAGCAUGGUGAGGGCAUUCACAGCUCUACUACGUCUGGUAGGCAGUGAAGGGUUAACUUUUAGGCAAGGGGAACUCCCUUUUCCAGUGGGAACUCCCACAGACAGGAGCUAUUUCAGUUCAAGGCAGGUGUGGGCACCCAAGGGCUGUGCCUCCUCUCCCCUGGAGAAGAGAAAAGGAAAUUCCUUACCACUCCGAACUGCAGCACAUUUUGAGGCCAAUAAUUAUGCUUCAUGUUUGUUUAUAGUUUUAAACAGAAAUUUAUUCUCAGAAUAAUGCACAAAAGCAGAGGUUGAGGCUGCCCUUGGGAGGCCUCCCUCCCUUCCCUGGGCGCCUCCGCUCCUCUCUGAAUGCCAGGGAGAACACAGUUGAAGGAAACAUGCAAUCACAAACAAUGA